AAAGCGCGGAAGGUCGCGGUCUCGGCUUCCCCGGAACUUUUUGCUCGCUUCGCCCCGCCCCCUUCCCAUCCCCGAACCCCGCUUUCCGGCCCGCGGCGACCGCCGGCAACUGUUGUGGCUGCCGCAUUGCUCCCGCCGGGCUGUAGCUGAGCGCGGAGCCCGUGGGGGCCGGUGAGUUUGAGUUCCUGAGAUCUAGUUGGUGAGAGACAUGAUGUUCUACUGGUUGCUGUCGAUUGUUGGAAGACAAAGAGCCAGCCCAGGAUGGCAGAACUGGUCCUCUGCAAGAAACAGCGCAUCAGCUGCCGAGGCGCGUUCCAUGGCCCUGCCCACCCAGGCACAGGUGGUCGUCUGUGGAGGUGGAAUCACGGGCACUUCUGUGGCCCAUCACCAAUCCAAAAUGGGGUGGAAGGAUAUUGUCCUUUUGGAGCAGGGCAGGCUGGCUGCUGGCUCUACCAGGUUCUGUGCUGGCAUCCUGAGCACUGCCAGGCACUUGACCAUUGAGCAGAAGAUGGCAGACUACUCAAACAAACUCUACCAUCAGUUAGAGCAAGAAACAGGGAUCCGAACAGGUUACACAAGGACAGGCUCAAUCUUUCUGGCCCAAACUCAGGACCGACUGAUCUCCCUGAAGCGCAUCAACGCAGGGCUGAAUGUUAUAGGUAUCCCUUCUGAGAUCAUCUCCCCCAAGAAAGUGGCCGAGCUUCACCAUCUCCUCAACGUGCACGACCUGGUGGGGGCCAUGCAUGUUCCUGAGGAUGCAGUGGUGUCUUCCGCUGACGUGGCUCUUGCCCUGGCAAGUGCUGCCUCCCAAAAUGGUGUUCAGAUCUAUGACCGGACAUCUGUUCUUCAAGUAAUGGGCAAAAAAGGUCAAGUUACUGGAGUGGAGACCGAUAAAGGACAGAUUGAAUGCCAGUAUUUUGUCAACUGUGCUGGCCAGCUAUUGUGGAUGCUGAUGGAAGAAUUUAUAUUCGGAACUGGCAGGGUGGCAUCCUGUCUGGGGGCUUUGAGAAGAACCCAAAACCAAUUUUCACUGAGGGCAAGAACCAGCUGGAGAUUCAGAAUCUACAGGGGACUGGGAUCACUUUGAGCCUCUGUUGAGUUCCCUUCUGAGGAGGAUGCCAGAAUUAGAGACUCUGGAGAUCAUGAAGUUGGUGAACUGCCCAGAGACCUUCGCAUCAGACAUGAGGUGCAUCAUGGGCGAGUCUCCUGCAGUGUAGGGCUACUUUGUCCUGGCAGGAAUGAACUCUGCUGGCCUUUCAUUUGGUGGAGGAGCCGGAAAGUACCUUGCCGAAUGGAUGGUACAUGGUUAUCCCUCAGAAAACGUUUGGGAAUUGGACCUGAAACGUUUUGGAGCCCUCCAGAGCAGCCGCACCUUUCUGCGCCACCGGGUCAUGGAAGUCAUGCCUUUGAUGUAUGAUCUGAAGGUUCCCCACUGGGACUUCCAGACCGGUAGGCAGUUACGCACCUCUCCUCUCUACGACCGGCUGGAUGCACAGGGAGCCAGGUGGAUGGAGAAACAUGGAUUUGAGAGGCCAAAGUACUUUGUUCCCCCUGACAAGGGUAAGAAGUCACAUUCUCAUUUUUGCUCCUUUUUUUUUUUGUCCUGGGAAUUAAUAAAACGUAUUUUCAAAUGCAUAGGCUAGAAUGUGUUCACAGAAGAAAAAGAACCACGUGGACUACACUAAACUCUACAGGGCCUUGUGAUUUUUCCAUUCCGUAGACCUCCUGGCAUUGGAGCAGAGCAAGACUUUCUAUAAGCCAGAUUGGUUUGACAUCGUGGAGUCUGAAGUCAAGUGCUGUAAGGAAGCUGUGUGUGUCAUUGACAUGUCCUCUUUCACAGAGUUUGAGAUAACAGUAAGUAUUUGGGAACCAAAGUAAUAGAUUAGGAAACUUUGCAUAUUUAUUGAAUGCCUUUUGUUUUUCAUCUUCAAAACUGAUUCCUGACUGGGUGCAGUGGGUCAUGCCUGUAUUCCCAGCACUUUGGGAGGCCAAGGGGGGCGUGGAUCACCUGAAGUCAGGAGUUCCAGACCAGCCUGGCCAAGAUGGUAAAACCCCGUUUCUACUAAAAAUACAAAAAUUAAGGCCAGGAGUGGUGGCUCAUGCCUGUAAUCCCAGCAGUUUGGGAGGCCGAGACGGGUAGAUCACCUGAGAUCAGGAGUUCAAGACCAGCCUGGCCAACAUGGCGAAACCAUCUCUACCAAAAAUACAAAAAAUUAACCAGGCAUGGUGGCGGGCACUUGUAAUCCCAGCUACUCGGGAGGCAGGAGAAUCGCAUGAACUCAUGAGGUGGAGGUUGCAGUGAGCUGAGAUUGCGCCACUGCACUCAGCCUGGGCAACAGAGUGAGACUCCAUCUC
Long non-coding RNA from Homo sapiens (human), 2355 nucleotides. The record is from Ensembl. Lineage: Eukaryota; Metazoa; Chordata; Mammalia; Primates; Hominidae.